GACGAAACGUACGAACGUUAUUCGGAAUCACUGGGCUUAAAGGGUGCGUAGGCGGUGCGGAAAGUUGGGUGUGAAAUCCCUCGGCUCAACCGAGGAAUUGCGCCCAAAACUACCGUGCUCGAGGGAGACAGAAGUGAGUGGAACUUAGGGUGGAGCGGUGAAAUGCGUUGAUAUCCUAAGGAACACCAGUGGCGACAGCGACUCACUGGGUCUCUUCUGACGCUGAUGCACCAAAGCUAGCGGAGCAAACGGG
This 253-nucleotide ribosomal RNA is filed under the name uncultured bacterium. Its description in RNAcentral is "partial 16S ribosomal RNA". It matches the Rfam family "Bacterial small subunit ribosomal RNA", at positions 524 to 776 of the family's 1533-position model. The record is from RNAcentral.